Molecule: ribosomal RNA, 330 nt
Filed under: uncultured eukaryote
Lineage: Eukaryota
Description: partial 18S ribosomal RNA
Rfam family: Eukaryotic small subunit ribosomal RNA
Source: RNAcentral
CCCUUAGAUGUUCUGGGCCGCACGCGCGCUACACUGAUGCAUUCAAUGAGUCUAAAACCUGGUCUGAUAGGGCUGGGUAAUCUUUUGAAUGUGCAUCGUGAUUGGGAUAGAUGAUUGCAAUUCUUCAUCUUCAACGAGGAAUGCCUAGUAAACGCAAGUCAUCAGCUUGCAUUGAUUACGUCCCUGCCCUUUGUACACACCGCCCGUCGCUCCUACCGAUUGAAUGUUCCGAUGAAUACCAUGGACUGAGAGUAUGAAUGGGUUCGCCUAUUUCUGCUUCUCGGGAAGUGGAGUAAAUCUUAACAUUUAGAGGAAGGAGAAGUCGUAACA